Molecule: long non-coding RNA, 472 nt
Organism: Dermacentor andersoni
Lineage: Eukaryota; Metazoa; Arthropoda; Arachnida; Ixodida; Ixodidae
Source: RefSeq, a predicted model, not a curated record
UAACUUUGUGGUAACUCUUAUACACCUAAAAACAAGAUUACGCCGACUUAGUUUCUCAAAAGAAAGUACCAUGUUUACAAAUGACGAUGUCAGCUAGGUCCCAACGGUUCGCCGGGAAAAUGACAUGCCUGUAAAACGACGUCGCGAACACGAAAGGAACAUCUCACCAACGCUGGCUCCACACGUCAAGACGCCAAGUCAAGCAGGCCACAGGAGAGGCAGCAGGUGGUACAGCAAACACAGCCCAACAGCAAGCAGCUACCACUACAGGGUAAGACAGCAUCCUGCUGCUAGCAGUUCUCUCAAGGUGAUGACACAGUUUCUUGAGGUUGGAUGCUAUCAAUUAAAAUGCACAGCCAUUAGAAUUCUUGAUCCCUUGUCCCUUCACAGUGUCACCUUCCUCCCUUUGUUCCUUUGCACCGCCCAUGUAUGACACCGAGCUUGUAGGGCCGCCCCAUUUCCUUUCCAAUAA